Pelobates cultripes (western spadefoot toad) is the source of this 205-nucleotide non-coding RNA. The record is from the annotation of a GenBank genome assembly. NCBI's taxonomy places the organism in Eukaryota, Metazoa, Chordata, Amphibia, Anura, Pelobatidae.
GCCAUUAAAUGUCCUGCAGAAAAGUAGAUUCCAAAUAUAUUCCAACCUUUUUGGUAGUGUUUAUUUGGUGGUGAUAAUAAAUGAACAUAGCCAGUUGGGCUUCUUUCAAGUACAUCUGCUAAUGUGACACCAACAAGAUUCCAUCCUUUCUUUUUCUAUGCAUUAAUGAUUUGGGCGCUAUCCUGUUUGUUUACGUGUUUUACAG